RNAcentral lists this ribosomal RNA (441 nucleotides) under Bacillus licheniformis. Its description in RNAcentral is "bacterial SSU rRNA". It matches the Rfam family "Bacterial small subunit ribosomal RNA", at positions 1019 to 1461 of the family's 1533-position model. The record is from RNAcentral. Lineage: Bacteria; Bacillati; Bacillota; Bacilli; Caryophanales; Bacillaceae.
CUCGGGGGCAGAGUGACAGGUGGUGCAUGGUUGUCGUCAGCUCGUGUCGUGAGAUGUUGGGUUAAGUCCCGCAACGAGCGCAACCCUUGAUCUUAGUUGCCAGCAUUCAGUUGGGCACUCUAAGGUGACUGCCGGUGACAAACCGGAGGAAGGUGGGGAUGACGUCAAAUCAUCAUGCCCCUUAUGACCUGGGCUACACACGUGCUACAAUGGGCAGAACAAAGGGCAGCGAAGCCGCGAGGCUAAGCCAAUCCCACAAAUCUGUUCUCAGUUCGGAUCGCAGUCUGCAACUCGACUGCGUGAAGCUGGAAUCGCUAGUAAUCGCGGAUCAGCAUGCCGCGGUGAAUACGUUCCCGGGCCUUGUACACACCGCCCGUCACACCACGAGAGUUUGUAACACCCGAAGUCGGUGAGGUAACCUUUUGGAGCCAGCCGCCGAAG